Molecule: unclassified non-coding RNA, 342 nt
Filed under: soil metagenome
Description: partial contains 5.8S ribosomal RNA, internal transcribed spacer 2, and large subunit ribosomal RNA
Rfam family: 5.8S ribosomal RNA (bases 1-120)
Source: RNAcentral
GAUGAAGAACGUUGCGAAAUGCGAUAAGUAAUGUGAAUUGCAGAAUUCAGUGAAUCAUCGAAUCUUUGAACGCACAUUGCGCCCGCCAGCAUUCUGGCGGGCAUGCCUGUUCGAGCGUCAUUUCAACCCUCGAGCCCCCCCGGGGGCCUCGGUGUUGGGGGACGGCACACCAGCCGCCCCCGAAAUGCAGUGGCGACCUCGCCGCAGCCUCCCCUGCGUAGUAGCACACACCUCGCACCGGAGCGCGGAGACGGUCACGCCGUAAAACGCCCAACUUCUUAGAGUUGACCUCGGAUCAGGUAGGAAUACCCGCUGAACUUAAGCAUAUCAAUAAGCGGAGGA